AUAGAGGGCCAUUUGGAUUCCCUAUAUAGAGAAUAGAGGGCCAUUUGGAUUCCCUAUAUAGAGAAUAGUGGGCCAUUUGGAUUCCCUAUAUAGAGAAUAGUGGGCCAUUUGGAUUCCCUAUAUAGAGAAUAGAGGGCCAUUUGGAUUCCCUAUAGAGAAUAGUGGGCCAUUUGGAUUCCCUAUAUAGAGAAUAGUGGGCCAUUUGGAUUCCCUAUAUAGAGAAUAGUGGGCCAUUUGGAUUCCCUAUAUAGAGAAUAGAGGGCCAUUUGGAUUCCCUAUAGAGAAUAGUGGGCCAUUUGGAUUCCCUAUAUAGAGAAUAGAGGGCCAUUUGGAUUCCCUAUAUAGAGAAUAGUGGGCCAUUUGGAUUCCCUAUAGAGAAUAGUGGGCCAUUUGGAUUCCCUAUAUAGAGAAUAGAGGGCCAUUUGGAUUCCCUAUAUAGAGAAUAGAGGGCCAUUUGGAUUCCCCUAUAUAGAGAAUAGAGGGCCAUUUGGAUUCCCUAUAUAGAGAAUAGUGGGCCAUUUGGAUUCCCUAUAUAGAGAAUAGUGGGCCAUUUGGAUUCCCUAUAGAGAAUAGUGGGCCAUUUGGAUUCCCUAUAUAGAGAAUAGAGGGCCAUUUGGAUUCCCUAUAUAGAGAAUAGAGGGCCAUUUGGAUUCCCUAUAUAGAGAAUAGUGGGCCAUUUGGAUUCCCUAUAGAGAGAAUAGUGGGCCAGUGUUUCUGGGUCAUUUAAUAACUGAGAUGAGAUAGUGCACUACAUAGGGAUUAGGAUAUAAUUUGGGCUUCACACAAUCACUUUUUAAAAUCGGAGCAUCACCCAUUCUUCAGAUUACGUUCCAAAUUAGAUCACUUUUCAUCUCAUUUAUAAACGGACAGAUAUCACUUCUGAUCUAAUGUAUAAACGGCCCAGAUAUCACAUCUGAUCUAAUGUAUAAACGGCCCAGAUAUCAAACCCCAAUAUCCAGGUCGAUACACUUUCUGAUCUAAUGUAUAAACGGGCCAGAUAUCACUUCUGAUCUAAUGUAUAAACGGGCCAGAUAUCACUUCUGAUCUAAUGUAUAAACGGGCCAGAUAUCCCGUCUGACCUAAUGUAUAAACGGCCCAGAUAUCAAACCCCAAUAUCCAGGUCAAUACUCUUUCUGAUCUAAUGUAUAAACGGCCCAGAUAUCACAUCUGAUCUAAUGUAUAAACGGGCCAGAUAUCACUUCUGAUCUAAUGUAUAAACGGCCCAGAAAUCCCUUCUGUUCCAAAGUAUAAACGGGCCAGAAAUCAAACCCUGAUAUCAAGGUCAAUACUGUUCCGAUUAACUGGUCUAUAUUAAAAUGUACAUAACACCACACAUUCACCAUUACAGAAACAUCACGUUAAGAUUAUAUUAUAUACACUUAGUUUGAUUAUGGUUUUAUAAAAUGUAGAACUGUGUUAAUGUAUUUUAAAAGUCAACAUUUAAUAUCUACAUUUAAUCUAAUUUAAAUGAACUCUUGCUCCUGUCAUCGUUUGUAAAAUCCUGAUAAAGUUUCAUUCAAAAACACAAAUAUUGUACAAAACUGGCAACAGUGAAGACAUAAAAAGGAGGUUAAGACGUUUUCUUUGGCAGCUAUUAAAAUAAUUAAAAUAUGAGAGAGAGAGAGAGAGAGAGAGAGAGAGAGAGAGAGAGAGAGAGAGAGAGAGAGAGAGAGAGAGACAGAGAGAGAGACAGAGAGAGAGACAGAGAGAGAGAGACAGAGAGAGAGAGACAGAGAGAGAGACAGAGAGAGAGAGACAGAGACAGAGAGACACAGAGACAGAGAGAGAGAGAGAGAGACAGAUAGAGACAGAGACAGAGACAGAGAGACAGAGAGAGAGACAGAGAGAGAGACAGAGAGAGACAGAGAGAGAGAGAGAGAGAGAGAGAGAGAGAGUGUGUUUCUUGUGUAUGUGAGAGAGGAAGUGGUAGAGGUAGAUUCCAGGGGAGGAGAGAUUAGUGUCUUGAUAAGGACAGUCAGUCACAUGACCAGCUUCAUCUCAGUUCAGACACACCAACAUCAGACCUGGCUUAGGCUCAG
This 2039-nucleotide long non-coding RNA is filed under the name Salmo salar (Atlantic salmon). RNAcentral's name for it is "lncRNA (ENSSSAG00000084559.1)". Lineage: Eukaryota; Metazoa; Chordata; Actinopteri; Salmoniformes; Salmonidae. The record is from RNAcentral.